CACAGCAGAAAUUAUUAAUUAACCUAAUUAAUUAACAUGUGUUUAUCCUACACUAGGAUCUAAAUAUAAUAUAUAGCAUGCAUGCAUUUAAAUUUGAAAUUCAAAUUUGAACAGUAAACAAUUUACUGCUAUGUGUUCAGAACACAUUACCUUUGUGUGGGUAGUCGAUCGUCGUAAUCUGAUCACCGUUGGGAGGAUCUGAUCGUCGCAACAUAGCCACACAGCAUGUCUAGCCUCUGCGGAUCAUCCACAUGAAGCUCCCAGUC
RNAcentral lists this long non-coding RNA (266 nucleotides) under Elaeis guineensis (African oil palm). RNAcentral's name for it is "long non-coding RNA (EGUI_LNC058309)". Lineage: Eukaryota; Viridiplantae; Streptophyta; Magnoliopsida; Arecales; Arecaceae. The record is from RNAcentral.